Molecule: long non-coding RNA, 5621 nt
Filed under: Homo sapiens (human)
Lineage: Eukaryota; Metazoa; Chordata; Mammalia; Primates; Hominidae
Description: HSALNT0033310
Source: RNAcentral
UGAGCCACAGCGCCCGGCCGAGACUCUCCUUAAGUUGUAAAUACAUAGGGUUCAGAUUCCAACCUCUUGGGUUCCUUUUUCUGGCUCAGCAACUUCUUCCACACAUCCCCAGGGUGAGUUGCUUGGUCUCAUGGAAUCAGUCUCCCUGCCUGUUCAAAGGGGAGGAGGGGUAAUAAUGCGUUUACCACAGGGGUGUUGGUUAAAUUAAUUAGUAUUUAUUAUGUGCUCCAUUAAGGUCCUCAGGUGAUGUAUAACUUGACAGUUAUAUGGCACCUGAUCAUUGCUUUAAGUUUUGAAAACAGUCCUUGGUUUUUAAACCCAUGCAAGAAACAUAACAAUUCUUUAUGCUUCCAACAGUAGGAUUAAGCAUAGGAAUAUUUUAGCUUUUCUUACUAUUUUUCUUUUUGAGAUGGAAUUUCCCUCUUGUUGCCCAGGCUGGAGUGCAAUGGCACAAUCUCAGCUCACUGCAACCUCCGCCUCCCGGGUAGCUGAGAUUACAGGCACCUGCUACCACGCCUGGCUAAUUUUUGUAUUUUUAGUAGAGAUGGGGUUUCACCAUGAUGACCAGGCUGGUCUCAUACUCCUGACCUCAGGUGAUCCACCUGACUCCACCUCCCAAAGUGCUAGGAUUACAGGCGACAGCCAUGGUGCCCAGACCAUUUUAGCUUUUCUAAGAACAAUUAUUUUCCUGGGGUGAAAAUAUUGGCAGGUUACAAAAGCUUAUUUCCUCAGCUUUAGACUAUGAAUAGAAUAGCUUUAAUUUAUAGUUGAUAAAAGCAGAAGGAAGAAAGUUUUAUAAAAGCCAUUUUAAUGGCUUAUUCUGCCAUCUUCGGUGGCAUUUUAAACUACUCACAAUUGAAGGGAAAUUGGUUCAUCUAUUUUACAAUUAUUUAAUUCUGGCAUUUAAAAGAAACCCAAGAAGUAAUUUAAUUGAACUCCUUUGCUUACUAUAAUAGUACUAAGCACCUGCUCUUCAAGACAACAUUCUCGUUUUAUAGAUGAGGAAACCAAGGUUCAGUGAACUUAAAUCACAGUGCAGAGAAUCAAAUCCCAGACGCCAUUCUCUCUCUGCCACUUCAGACACCGCCAAGAAGUUAUACUUAAAGCUGCCCUGUACAGAAAGGAAUUUCUUCUCUUCUUUAUCCCUAUUCUCUCUCUCUCUCUUUGAACUUAGAAACUAAACCAAUUUUUUUUUCUUUUUUUCUUUUCUUUUCUUUCUUUUUUUUUUUAAGAGAAGAGAUCUCACCAUGUUUCCCAGGCUGGUCUCGAACUUCUGGGCUCAAGCGAUUCUCCUGCCUUGGCCUCUCAAAGUGCUGGGAUUACAGGCAAGAGCCCCUGUCCACAACCUAAACAAAGAUAUUCUAAUGGAAUCUCAGUUUUAUCCCCAGAGAGCUUAUGAGUGCCCCCAAGUCAUCAGUUAAAAGUUAUCUUGAAAGACAAGUAGUUUAAAAUCACUCUUAAAAGACACUUCUAUACAUUGUUAUUGAAGAAACAAAAGCUACACAUAUCCUUUUUUUUGAGAAUUAGUCCACUGAGUUUUAGUGAUGUUUUAAUAUCAAAUUAACAUGAAUACUAUAUGGUCAGAGCUUUUUCAACUUUGUAUUGAAGUAUGUGGUUCCCCCUUACCCGUGGGGGAUAUAUUUCAAGACCCCCACUGGGCGCCUAAACGGCAAAUAGUACAGAACCCUAUAGAUACUGUUUUCUGCUAUACAUGCAUAACUUUUUGAUAAAGUUUAAUUUAUAAACUAGGCAUAGUAAGAAGUUAACAAUAACAAUAACAAAAUAGAACAAUUAUAGCAAUAGGCUGUAAUAAAGGUUAAUGUGGUCUCUCUCUCAAAAUAUCUUAUUGUAUUGUAUGUUGGGCAAUUGAAACCAUGAAAAGUGAAACCAUGGAUAAGGGGGGGACUACUGUACAAACAGAAAUAAAGUACACUCAUUUUUUGAAAUAUCUAAAAUCUAUCCCAUCUUCACUUUGUAAUAAGACGAGUACAUAUCAUUGCCAUUUCAUAUCUCAGAGGAAUGUACUAUGUGUACUAAAGAACUCAAAUAAUGAAUAAAUUGGCCUACAUAUCUAAGAGUGCUUUGAAAGUUUAAGCUCCAUAUUGAAAUUAAAAUAUUAUUAGUAAAGUAUUAUUACAGCUAUGAUUUCAUUUUAAGUAAUAAUGAUACAUUUUCUUAUGGCUUUGGGCAGCAGGCAAAAAAGAUAAAGAUAAUAUUUAAAAUUGAACCUGGGCAACAUAGUGAGACCCCAUCUUGAAAAAAAUAAAAAACAAUUUAUUGGUCAUGUUGGCAUGUGCAUGUAGUCCCAGCUACUUGGGAGACUGAGGAGGGAGAAUUGAUUGAGCCCAGGAGUUCAAGGUUGCAGUGAGCCAGGAUCACGCCACUGCACUCCAGCCUGGGUGACAGAGACCCUGACUCUUUAAAUAAAAACUUUGUAGGCACCUCUGUAUGCUAUCAUUGUUUCUUAAAACAAUGAUUAUAACUCACAUAUUGUAUAGAUGUGUAUAAAAUUUUGUCCAUAAAAUUUACCUCUAAAUAAACUGCAUAAAUCAUCUUUCUUGCCCAUCAUAGAAAAAAUAUGGUCUUAAAGUCCAGAAGGACCCAAGAAUUUGAAUAAUAAUUCAGAGGAGUUCAUGCCAAGUUGAUAUCCAUCUUUUCCUUUAAUUUUGACUCAUUUAUUUCUAUUUAGCAUUCACUGACAACCAAAUAAAUGGAGACACCUUGGCUAAUUCAUACCACUGUUCUAAGAUAGUAAAUAUCAGACGCCCAACUGCAGAGGCUUUAUGAUGCUGCUGGCGGGAACAUAUAAGUUACUGAAACAUUCUCCCUGAGCAAAGGUUCUUCUUAUUAUUUUUGUUUAAUUGUAGCUCAUUGCACUACUCAUCUCUAGAGAGUGAAUCAGCUCAGCCCUACCUUUAAAUUGGACAGAAGGACAUAGGCCACUAAAUGUCCUGCUCUACACCAAGACCCUAAUUAAACAAAAACAAAAUAGCCAUUCCUCACAUACCUCGAAAGACUAAUGAGGCUUUAAUCCCUAUCCUCAGUGUCGAUUGUAGCAGGAACAAGAGCUGAGCAGCCUUCUGGGUAUUGAGUCUCAGUGGCGCAGUUCCCUCCUGGAACUGCAUAGAGCUCUGGCACCAUAGGGCCAUAGGGCUCUGGUACUACUAGCAGAAAAUACCCUGAGAAGAUUCCUGAGGGACCAAAUUCAGGGCUUUUUUCUGCCUGGUGAAAAACAUAAUUCUUCUCCAUCAAUCCCCUUAGGAUUUUUCCUUCUCCAUCAAUCCCCUUAGGGUUUUUCCCCAUGGAGUAACAUAUGACACCAAACUGACCCCACUGAAGAAUGAGUUAGCUGAAUGAGAAAGAAAAACAAUGUCUCAUAAAGUUACUGACUUUGCAACCUCAAUAGUUUGAGUUUAAUUUGCUAUCAGAAGUUGAUUAAUUAUAAUCUUUCAGAGUCAAUUCCCAUUUUUACCAAUAUAGCCCUGAAAUUGUGGCUCUAAGUUUUCAGGAAAAAAAUCACAUUUUUAAAGUGUAUUAAAUAUAAAUGCAGAUAUUAACUAAACAGAUCAUAAAAACUUUCUUAUCUAAGGUGUUUGUUGAGAAUAACUUAUUUAUGAAAUUUACUAUAAUCCAAUAUGAUGAUUUAUUUAAAUCAUUUGAUUUUCUAAUUUUUUUCUUUAGAGUUGAAAUUUUUACACUGUCUCAGAUCUACAACAAAAUGUAUUUACAAGGAAAUACAUUUUAUAUUUUUAAAGAUGAAGUCUUGCUAUGUUGCCCAGGCUGAUCUCAAAUUCCUGGCCUCAAGUGAUCCUCCUGCCUCAGCCUCCCAAAUUGUUCGGAUUACAAGGGUGAGCGACUGUUCCUGGCUUACAUGGAAAUAUUUUUAAAGGUCUGCAUCUUAUAAACACUUUAUGGUCCCAGAACUUAAACAAACAAGCAAACAAAAAAAAAUCAAUUAGAAAAAGAAGAUCACCUCCUUUGAGAAUAAAAGUGAAAACAAUUUUUUUUAAAAGAAGAAGUAACGGAGUGAAGGGUGGACAGAAAUUGGAACUGAUCUAUUGGUCAUGUAAUACUUUUUUACCAACAUAAUACAUCAGAAGAUAAAAAGCUAUUUCAAUUUCCCUUAAAAAUACAUGCUGAUACUUUAGCAACUCCCAUGGUAAGAAAGUGUUUUAGUGUAUCUAAUAAUAAUAAUAAAGAAUAAAGGGUCAUUAUCUACAUGGAAAACUCAAAAACUAAAUUUAUAGAGCAACCAAAAAUAAGAAUACAGAACAUCUGUAUGAAUCUAUUUCAGAAAUGAAGUCUCUUGACUAUUUCAAAAGAAUCAGUCUCUCACACACUCACUAGGUUUCUUUAACUUCCCUAGUUACAUAACUGAUUCUGUGACUUGUAAACAAACAGCCCCAUUGCUUGACAAUUCUGGAUCUGUGGGUUUGUACUGCUGUUUCCCUGUGGAGGCUGAGAGCUGCAUAAUGAUUUAUUCUUUCCCCACUCCCUGCCUUCUUUUCCUAUUUUGCACUCUCUUUUUCUUUUUUUCCUUUUUGUCAAAGUCAGUUUAAAAAAAUCCCAGGGAACUAAAUGUGAAAACAAACCCUGGUGUUAUAAAAUUGAGGCCACCAAUUUAAACACCGUAGGCAUAAGAAGUGCAAAACUUGAGGGUCUCAUAGUCAGAUGAGCUCCCCAUAGGGACACUGUAAGUAUGUAUGCAGUGUUUUUUCAGCAUCCCCUGGCCUCCUAACCAUAUGCUUUUGUAUAAGGUAGCUUUGAUUCCCCUGAUUUCCCACGCAUGAAACACUUGCUGGCUUCAAAGAGAGCUCUGUAUGCAAAAGACACAUGGGGGUGUAGUUCAGGAGGAGAAUGGGGAUAGUAGGCAGAAUGUGGGUGAACUAACAUUUGAGUCUGUGUUAAUUCCAGUGCUACCUUUUGCUGGUAUGCCCCAGUUAUAACUUUGACUGCUGGCAAACUGGAAGCUUUCUAAAUUUGUUAUUAAACCUAAUCAAUUACCUAUAAUUAAAAUACAUCUCAUUCCUCCAACGAGAAGUUAGAUUUCAGAUUGGUUGUUAGGUUGUGAAUUUAUUUUUGAUACUGUACAUUAAGUAUGAUUUAUAAUAUGAGGUCUUGCACCAUGCAUUUACUGUUACUGUGUUGCUGAUGGAAUCUUCAAGAAAAUUAUUAUUACAUAAUAAUUUAAUGCAUGUAAAGUACAUAUAGGAUAAAUUAAGUAUUUUGAGUUUUAACAAUUUAGAAAAUAAUUUGGUCAUAAGUGAAGAAAGACAACAAAGCCUUUAAACAUCUUCCACAAUUACACAAAAUGUACCACUAGUUCUCCUUUUGUGUUUGCUAUUUUAGGAGAUCUUUAUUUCUAAAUAUAUCCAAACCGUUUUCUCUCCCAUUUAUCUUCUAUUCCUCCAUCAUUCUGGGCAUUGAAAAUAAUUUCUAUGCCAAGAAAUCUCUUGAAACAUUAGAGUCUAAUCUACUACUGACCUUUCUUCUUCCAAGACAAAAAGAAAGAAAGAAAAGAAAGAAAGAAAGAAAGAAAGAAAGAAAGAAAGAAAGAAAGAAAAGAAACAAAAGAAAGAAAGAAAGAGAAAAAAGGCCCUUGUACAUAUCCUAUUAGCUGC